This 301-nucleotide ribosomal RNA is filed under the name uncultured bacterium. RNAcentral describes it as "partial 16S ribosomal RNA". It matches the Rfam family "Bacterial small subunit ribosomal RNA", at positions 509 to 807 of the family's 1533-position model. The record is from RNAcentral.
CAGUCGCCACGGGAAUACGAGGGGGGCAAGCGUUGUUCGGAAUUAUUGGGCGUAAAGGGCGCGUAGGCGGUUUGACAAGUCUUAUGUGAAAUCUUCGGGCUCAACUCGAAGUCUGCAUGGGAAACUGUCGGGCUUGAGUAUGGGAGAGGUGAGUGGAAUUUCCGGUGUAGCGGUGAAAUGCGUAGAUAUCGGAAGGAACACCUGUGGCGAAAGCGGCUCACUGGACCAUAACUGACGCUGAGGCGCGAAAGCUAGGGGAGCAAAUGGGAUUAGAUACCCCUGUAGUCCCUGUCUCUUAUAC